UCGUGCAGCGGCUUCGCCCCGCCGGACUUCAACCAUUGCCUCAAGGAUUGGGACUAUAAUGGCCUUCCUGUGCUCACCACCAACGCCAUCGGCCAGUGGGAUCUGGUGUGUGACCUGGGCUGGCAGGUGAUCCUGGAGCAGAUCCUCUUCAUCUUGGGCUUUGCCUCCGGCUACCUGUUCCUGGGUUACCCCGCAGACAGGUGAGGGCUGUCGUGGGGGCAGGGCUGGUAGAAAGGAGGGGGUGCUAGGGAAGCUAGCCCAAGCAGCGGGCGUUUACAGGAGGUCGAAGACGAUUCGCUGGACUCUGCCGUCUUCUCUGGACUUCUAUUCAAUGGUCUAUCCAUGUCUCAACUUCACUCCCCAUCAAGAAAUACACCUUCCCUACCUCUUCCGUGCAAGGGAAUGACUCGACCUCCAUGGACUAUUAGUCCCAUUCCCACUAAUUAGUGGCCCCCUAUCCGUGAAUCAAUGGCUUCAUUUCCAAAGAGAAUAGUCUCAUCCCCACUAACAGCCCACAUGGACUGUUAGCUCCAUCUCAGUGACCUCAUUCCUGAAGAUCAAUAUGUUAAUUCCUAAACACCAACAGCUCCAUUCCCACUGAUCAAUAGUUCAACUUCACAAACAAAUUACCCCAUUUCUGACCAGCGGCCCCUUCCCUACAAGUCAAUAACUAUCUCCAAAGAAAAUAUCCUCAGACCCAAUAACCCACAGUCCCAUGCUUGCCACCAAAUGACCCAACCCUCUGUAGGUGAAUAGCCCAUAGAUUAAAAGUCACACCCUCAUGGAUCCUCAGGGCUUUCAGAUCCUCUCACCGAAAUCCCCGUUUCCAUGAGUCAGUAGCUUCACCUCCAGAGAUCAACAGCCCAAUCCCAGCAACCAAUAACUCUUCCCACAAAUCAAAAAUCUCAUCUCUGAUUUUGGUCACCUUCACCACUGACCAGAUGCUCUCACUGCACUAAACUUCCAAUUAGACUCAGCCCCAUUGAUCCACAGUUCCAUCCAAGUGGAUUAAUAACUCAACUUCUAUGGAUC
This 1032-nucleotide small RNA is filed under the name Pongo abelii (Sumatran orangutan). Its description in RNAcentral is "retained intron". Lineage: Eukaryota; Metazoa; Chordata; Mammalia; Primates; Hominidae. The record is from RNAcentral.